Molecule: long non-coding RNA, 663 nt
Filed under: Malus domestica (apple)
Lineage: Eukaryota; Viridiplantae; Streptophyta; Magnoliopsida; Rosales; Rosaceae
Description: long non-coding RNA (MDOM_LNC007774)
Source: RNAcentral
GAACGUGAUCUUUUAGUUGGUUAAAAGUCAGUCAGCUAUGGCACAAUAUCAUCAUAUAUUACAUUAAAACUUUGUUAUUGAUAUCUAAACCAAGCAUCAUCUGACAAGCAACUAGAAGAAUGAUAUCAUGAGAUACAGCACAUAUGAUUUCUUUACUUCCACGAGUCACGAGUUAAACUAAGCUCUCCAAACCUAAAUUUAAUAAUAUAACAGAAAAUAUUAAUAAAUCGUCGUAAGUUUGCUGUUUAUGAUUUAUGGUGUCAUGCAAGCGUAAAUCUGACUUAACUUGUGGAAAUGAUUAUUUCCAUCUGGCUCAUUGGGUGGGAUGUUAACUAUGCUGGAUGCCAUUGAGAUAGAUGAUGCCCUCCUAGCAAACUGUGCGAGAUCACUGGAGACAGUGGUUUCGAUCCGUUGGGAUGAAGUUAGGCGUGUCCAAGAAACAAACCAAGAUUGGGUUGCCAAACUUAGAAAAAUGUGUACGUUGAAAGAUAGAGAUAGCUAUAUUUCCAUAUUCAUGCUGCUGGACUAGGAUUUCAGCGUACUCGACGGGUAGGAACUGGUUGAUCUGAAAUUGAUUCAUCUUAACACGAGUUGCUUAUUUUUGUGACAACAUAGUCGCAGCAGCCACCCAGAAUGAUGCUGAAGCUCUGGAGAAAGUACCAG